UACGUAGGGUGCGAGCGUUGUCCGGAAUUACUGGGCGUAAAGAGCUCGUAGGUGGUUUGUCGCGUUGUCCGUGAAAACUCACAACUCAAUUGUGGGCGUGCGGGCGAUACGGGCAGACUGGAGUACUGCAGGGGAGACUGGAAUUCCUGGUGUAGCGGUGAAAUGCGUAGAGAUCAGGAGGAACACCCGUGGCGAAGGCGGCUCUCUGGGUCCGCCCUGACGCUGAGGCGCGAAAGCGUGGGGAGCGAACGGG
Molecule: ribosomal RNA, 253 nt
Filed under: uncultured bacterium
Lineage: Bacteria
Description: partial 16S ribosomal RNA
Rfam family: Bacterial small subunit ribosomal RNA
Source: RNAcentral